UCAAACUUGGUCAUUUAGAGGAAGUAAAAGUCGUAACAAGGUUUCCGUAGGUGAACCUGCGGAAGGAUCAUUAACGAGUUGAAUUGAAGUUGUUCUGGUCUCUUGGGGCAAGUGAACACUUCUCUCUCAUCCAUCUUACACCUGUGCACUUCUGAGAGGUUGACUAUUAUUAUUUAUUACAACCAACGUUGGUUCACGACUGCGGUUAAAUAGUAGAAACUAGUUGGAAACGACUGUGAUUCUAAUAGUCUUAGUCUCCUCUUAUUUACAUCAUACAACAAGUAUUAGAAAGUCUUUUAUUGCUUGAUGCAAAUAAAUACAACUUUCAGCAACGGAUCUCUUGGCUCUCGCAUCGAUGAAGAACGCAGC
Molecule: unclassified non-coding RNA, 369 nt
Filed under: uncultured fungus
Lineage: Eukaryota; Fungi
Description: partial contains small subunit ribosomal RNA, internal transcribed spacer 1, and 5.8S ribosomal RNA
Rfam family: Eukaryotic small subunit ribosomal RNA (bases 1-73)
Source: RNAcentral